GGGCCGGUAGCUCAAUGGUAGAGCAAUGGACUCUUAAUCCAUCGGUUCUGGGUUCAAAUCCCAGCCGGCUCA
Molecule: transfer RNA, 72 nt
Filed under: Candidatus Daviesbacteria bacterium RIFCSPHIGHO2_01_FULL_40_24
Lineage: Bacteria; Candidatus Daviesiibacteriota
Also listed under: 4 other names
Description: tRNA-Lys
Rfam family: tRNA
About the family: Transfer RNA (tRNA) molecules are approximately 80 nucleotides in length.
Source: RNAcentral